CAGUCGGCGCUCGCCGCUCGUCGCCGUCGGUUCGAAUGUCGUGGCGCGCGAUCGACGUCCCGCGCGAUUCCGUCCUCGGUCUCGUUCACGUUUACAUAUCACGGGAGUGUAUUGUCCUGCACCUCCUCCGUCUUUCCUUUCCGCGACGUAUCCGUUGAAGUGCGCUUUAAGUGUGCUUAAGUGUGGCCGCAAGCCGUGAUGUGACACAUAUCAGCGACGUGGAUCUGCGUGGGACACGCAUCGGGCACGCCGCCGCGUUUGGAUCAGAACACUGGAUAUCUCGCAGUGAUGGUACAGCGAUGAGCCUGCAGGCCCAGGCUCCAACCCAGCGCCCUGCGAGGUACUCCCCUCAGGAGACCGUCAAGGUAAGUUUUUACCACGCAUCUUUUAUCAGUGGCGCGCAAGAUAAAAGGCGAAGUGAAUGUUGCCUAUCGUAUUUUACCACGCAUUUAAAUAUUUAAUAAAGGAUCAGAAUAUUUUUCACGGCAUUUGAAAUUUUAUUAUAUAAAUUAUCCAAAUGAUGUAUUUCACUAUUCUUAUAUAUUAAUAAAGAAUUCUACUGUAUUUAAAACGUGUUUGAAAAAUUGUUUUGAAGUAAAAUGGAUGAAAAAUUUGUUGAAAAUUUGCAUUAAAUUGCAUUACUGAAAAAUCUUUCGUCACCUUAAAUUCGGUAUUGUAAAGGAGAAACAUUUAUUUUUUCUUUUUUCGUCGGGCGAUAAUUAACAGCGGAAUUCGCUCUCACGGUGAUAACGUACUCGCGUGGACCGCAUUACACCCUGUUUGCUACCCAUGUCGGGAUUAACCCCUCACGGCUGACUGUGCGUAGCUUGUAUCACUUGGCACCUGCUCUGUGCGUAGAGAGAAAUCGAGAGAGAAAGGAAACAGAAAUAGAAGAAAUAACAUUUCACGAUUUAGGAUAAUAAUCACGUAAAAAUGCAUAAGCGCAGAAUAAAAAAGAGAAUUAGUUAACGAUAUAUUAGACAUAAUAAUUAUCAG
Long non-coding RNA from Ooceraea biroi (clonal raider ant), 996 nucleotides. RefSeq lists it as uncharacterized. Lineage: Eukaryota; Metazoa; Arthropoda; Insecta; Hymenoptera; Formicidae. The record is from RefSeq and is a predicted model, not a curated record.